AUGGAUCCACUGCAAAAGUCUAAGGCUUUGUGCCUGAAGCGCAAGCCCGAUGAUGAUUGCUUGGCGAAAAACAGCAAGUCCCAUCAUACUGAAAUUGAUAAUGUAUCUUCUAUGGUGCACAGCGGAUCCUCAUCGGAUUUACCUGCUCACAGUUGUCACAGCCAACCUAAUCUUGCUAAUGAUUGUGUUAAUUACCUGAAAAGUGGGGCGCCAAGUCGUGUCGUGUUUUACAAACAAGGUUCAUGGUGUGACUUUCCUGACAAAAUAGUCACAUCCAUUGUUGAUGCAUUCGGAGGUGACAAAUCUAGUAUCGUUGUUGUGAUGGAUGACCAGCCUCUACUUAUUGAUUUCUUAUCAAUGACCUUGGUGAACCUAAAAACGAGGAAACAGCGAUCUGUUGCAUGGCUUGAUGGGACUAACAACUGGUCUUUUCCGUCUUCAUUCUUUGAUGAGGAAGUUGAAGAAUCCGCAAAGUUGAAAAGAAAUGUUGUUGAAGGUGCUGCACUAGGUUCCUGUUAG
This 519-nucleotide ribosomal RNA is filed under the name Triticum aestivum (bread wheat). RNAcentral describes it as "partial small subunit ribosomal RNA". The record is from RNAcentral. Lineage: Eukaryota; Viridiplantae; Streptophyta; Magnoliopsida; Poales; Poaceae.